This 615-nucleotide ribosomal RNA is filed under the name Bremia cirsii. RNAcentral describes it as "LSU rRNA". It matches the Rfam family "Eukaryotic large subunit ribosomal RNA", at positions 512 to 1096 of the family's 3401-position model. The record is from RNAcentral. Lineage: Eukaryota; Oomycota; Peronosporomycetes; Peronosporales; Peronosporaceae.
GCUUAUGAGUAGAAUUGAUUCUCCGUGUGCGCUGUGUGCGGAUAGCUUGCUAUGCGUGUGUGGCUGCGUGUGGAUUGAGUCGAGACGUAACUUAUUGCCGUUCGGGACGUUGACGAAAUGGAGCGAUUUGACCCGUCUUGAAACACGGACCAAGGAGUCUAACAUGUGUGCAAGUGUUAGGGUGUGGAAACCCCAGCGCGUAAUGAAAGUAAAGGAUAGCGUAAGUUAUCUGAGGUAGGAAAUGCUGCGGGUUCGUCCUGCGGCGUGGCACUAUCGACCGAUCAUGAACCCUUGUGGUGAAAGAUUUGAGUUUGAGCACAUAUGUUGGUACCCGAAAGAUGGUGAACUAUGCCUGAGUAGGGUGAAGCCAGGGGAAACUCUGGUGGAAGCUCGUAGCGAUUCUGACGUGCAAAUCGAUCGUCAAACUUGGGUAUAGGGGCGAAAGACUAAUCGAACCAUCUAGUAGCUGGUUCCCUCCGAAAUUUCCCUCAGGAUAGCAGCAACUUAUUUACGAUAGUUUUAUGAGGUAAAGCGAAUGAUUAGAGGAUUCGGGGAAGAAACUUUCUCGACCUAUUCUCAAACUUUAAAUCUGUAAGACCUGCAGGUUUCUUAAUU